CAGCAGCCGCGGUAAUACGAGGGGUGCAAGCGUUAUUCGGAUUGAUUGUGUGUAAAGGGUGUGCAGACGGCUUAUUAAGUCACUUGUUAAAUUCUUCGGCCUAACUGAAGGUCUGCAAGUGAUACUGAUGAGCUAGAGGGUGGAAGAGAGAAGUGGAAUUCUCGGAGUAGCGGUAAAAUGCGUAGAUCUCGAGAGGAACACCAAUGGCGAAGGCAGCCAUCUGGCCUAAUACUGACGCUGAGGUACGAAAGCAUGGGGAGCAAACAGGAUUAGAUACCCGCGUAGUCCCUGUCUCUUAUAC
Molecule: ribosomal RNA, 301 nt
Filed under: uncultured bacterium
Lineage: Bacteria
Description: partial 16S ribosomal RNA
Rfam family: Bacterial small subunit ribosomal RNA
Source: RNAcentral